CCUAGCUGUGUUGGCUUUCUAACCCGCACCACUUAUCGUGGUGGGAGACAGUGUCAGGCGGGCAGUUUGACUGGGGCGGUCGCCUCCUAAAAGGUAACGGAGGCGCUCAAAGGGUCCCUCAGAAUGGGUGGAAAUCAUUCAUAGAGUGUAAAGGCAUAAGGGAGCUUGACUGCGAGACCUACAAGUCGAGCAGGGUCGAAAGACGGACUUAGUGAUCCGGUGGUUCCGCAUGGAAGGGCCA
RNAcentral lists this ribosomal RNA (241 nucleotides) under Staphylococcus aureus. Its description in RNAcentral is "partial 23S ribosomal RNA". It matches the Rfam family "Bacterial large subunit ribosomal RNA", at positions 2204 to 2444 of the family's 2925-position model. Lineage: Bacteria; Bacillati; Bacillota; Bacilli; Caryophanales; Staphylococcaceae. The record is from RNAcentral.